RNAcentral lists this long non-coding RNA (233 nucleotides) under Lathyrus oleraceus (garden pea). RNAcentral's name for it is "Pisum sativum (pea) long non-coding RNA (PSAT_LNC004010)". The record is from RNAcentral. Lineage: Eukaryota; Viridiplantae; Streptophyta; Magnoliopsida; Fabales; Fabaceae.
AGCAGCCACCGCAGUAGCCACCACACCAAACACCACCUCAACAACAACAUACUCCUUCGGGCCACACAGAGACGUUGACGCCUAUCUCUGCCUUCGCACGGGGGCACACUCUGUUGGAUCCGACAGAUGAGAUUGACUUUGAUACUCAUAUGCAGGACGGUGGACUGGGUGAUUGACUUUGAUUAUGUUAUGUUUUUUAUACUUUUGGUUUUCUUUGUGUAAUUUUUUUGUUU